AUUCGGGACGGAUUUUCCAAACCCGACUCCAAACGCGAAUUCUGAACCCGACAGAUUUUAAAAAUCCAUAUCCAAACCUGAAUCCCACCAAAAAUCCGAACCCAAAAUCCGACCCGAAACAAUUAUUUUUCUGUUCAAUAUUUCAAAAUAUAUUAUAUUAAAUCUAAAUUUUUAAAAUAGAAAUUUAAAUAUAACAUCAAAUUUUUAUAUACAUAUUAUAUAUAAUGUAAAAUAAAUUCGGGUUCGGGUUGGGUAUAGUCAAAAUAUAUAUCCGUAUCCAUAUCCGUCAAGUUUUUAUUUUUGAUAUCCAUAUCCGAAAUCAUAUCCAUAUAGCAUCAGAUAAAUUGUUCCGUUCAGGUUCAGAUUCGGAUAAAAUUUCGGGUAUCCGUAUUCAUUGACAUCCCUAGUGCAAAUGCAGUAACGCGGUAAUAGAGUUUUUUUCUGCAAUUUUUCUAGAAUGCAUGACAAGUAGGUGAAUUAAUUGUGUGAAGUCGACUUAGGUAGAAGAUGGUGGGCUUGAAUUAUCGGACCAUCCUCGACAAUCUAAUGACAUAUAACCGAAACCUGCGACCCGACCAAGCCAAAUCGGGUCCGGUCAAAAAAGGCAGGUCCCUAUUUUUUUUCUUUUCUUUUCUUUUCUUGAGAGAUAGAUAGCACGCUUUCCAUUUCAUUUAUUUUAUUUAGAAAUAAACUUACUUGAAAAUAUGAAUCAACUAGAAUUCGAACUUAGUGUUAGUUUAUAAGCGUGUUUAUUUGUUUAAUUUUAUUUGUUUUGUUGAAAAGUUAUGUAUCUUAUGAAACGGUGUGUCCUUUUUGUAAGGUUGUGUCUUUUGGUUUAGGGUCAUGUCUUUUAGUGAAGGGUUGUUUUUUUUUGUGAAGAGUUGCGUCGUUUCAUACUCUAUAAAUAGAGAGCAUGUAAUUUGUUGUAUAGUGUUGUGAACAUAGUUAGUUAAUUCGGAUUCGGCAAAAAUUCGGUACGGGUAUAAUUCGGAUAAAAUUCUUCUUUUAAUUUUUAAAUUCGUUGAAAAAUACGGCUAAAAAACGGAUUCGGUAAUUAUUCGGAUACAUGAUUUAUACGGAUAUUAUACGUUCACCAAUUAAAAAUUCGGGAUAAAAAUUCGGCUAUAUAAUAAAUAUAUAAUAAUUAAUAUACAAUAUAUAUUAUUAUUAUUAUAAUUUUUAUAUAUAGAUUAAAUAUAUUCAAAAUUAUAAUAAACAUAUAUUAAUAAUAUAUAAGAUUUAUAUAUUUAAAAAUAUUAAUAAACUCAGAUCUGUGCAGAUCUGAAGACUAAUUUAUUCCAAUUAAUCUUAGAUAAUUAACUCUUCCAUCCUAAUUAACUCUCCCAAUUAACUCUCCCAAUUGACUUCUCUGGUUAAUUGUCAAUUAACCCUCGUACAGCACCCCUCCUCGUCCCUUUCCUCCGGCACCAGCAGCACCCUCCUCGACCACCGUUGCCACUCCAAACCCCGAGGGUGGCGUCCCAUGAGGCAACAUUGGUGAUCGGGGCUGCUGUUCCCGAUAGAGGCAUAGACGAAGAACGGGUUUCUAAGCAACGGAGAAGGCAUCCACGACGAUAAUGUCGAGGUGGAAGGCACGAUGAUGCUACCGGCGGUGAGGGAGACGAUGUCGACCCACCGACCACAACGAUGUCGAAUGUGACGAGGAUGUCGGAGUUGAAGCACCCUCGGCCCCAUCCCGGAGGCAAGGGGUAGUUGGGGAAGAGAGGGAGGUGGUAGUGGUGGGCGGCGGCAANCGAAUCCCACCAAAAAUCCGAACCCAAAAUCCGACCCGAAACAAUUAUUUUUCUGUUCAAUAUUUCAAAAUAUAUUAUAUUAAAUCUAAAUUUUUAAAAUACAAAUUUAAAUAUAAUAUCAAAUUUUUAUAUACAUAUUAUAUAGGGCGCGUUUGGUUCGCGCUAUCUUUUAAAGAUUUCUAGUAAUCUAAUGAGAAUAAAAAAAUAUGACGGUGUUUGGCUAAACGCACUAAGUAAUCUAGUCAGUAAUAUUGGAUUCACUUGGGAAUAUGAUUCACCCCAAAGUACUAAUCUCAUUCCCUUGAGGGAUGAUGGGUAUCCUCAUAUUAAUGAAUUUGGGUAAUCAUAAUAGAUCUAAUAUCUUUCUUUCUUCCUACCCGCCUGCUAAUUGAUAUUAUUUUUCUUUACACUCUAACCUUAUAUCUCUCUCUAAACUUAUUUUUCUCUCUAAAAUUCAACUUUUUUUUCUCUCUCUAAACUAAGCUUUCUCUCUCUCUCUCUCUCUCUCUUUCUAAAAUUUCAACUCUCUCACUUCCUCUAAUUUCGACUAUAUUUUUCUUUCUAUUUUUUUAAUUAUGCUCUCUCUCUCUCUAACUUAUACUCUAGCUCUCUCCCUUUUUUCUAAAAAGAUGUUGAAACUUUUGGUAACAUUAUCUAAAAUUAAUUAAAUAAAUUAAUUAAUUAAUUGUAUAUUUUUUGCAAUAUUAAAUAAUAUGGCUAAUUCAUAUUACUGUGCGAACCAAACACAGAAAUUCCACAUUCUUAGUAAUAGGAUGAAUAGGAAUAAGAUUCUCGAAUAUCUUUUAUUUCUAGUAAUUUUUCAUAAUGCGAACCAAACGCACCCAUAAUGUAAAAUAAAUUCGGGUUCGGGUUGGGUAUAGUCAAAAUAUAUAUCCGUAUUCAUAUCCGUCAAGUUUUUAUUUUUGAUAUCCAUAUCCGAAAUCAUAUCCAUAUAGCAUCAGAUAAAUUGUUCCGUUCAGGUUCAGAUUCAGAUAAAAUUUCGAGUAUCCGUAUUCAUUGACAUCCCUAGUGCAAAUGCAGUAACACGGUAAUAGA
This 2810-nucleotide long non-coding RNA is filed under the name Ananas comosus (pineapple). RNAcentral's name for it is "long non-coding RNA (ACOM_LNC002370)". The record is from RNAcentral. Lineage: Eukaryota; Viridiplantae; Streptophyta; Magnoliopsida; Poales; Bromeliaceae.